AACGAACGCUAUCGGUAUGCUUAACACAUGCAAGUCGGACGGACUAAUUAGGGCUUGCUCCAAUUAGUUAGUGGCAGACGGGUGAGUAACACGUGGGAAUCUGCCCAUCAGUACGGAAUAACUUUUAGAAAUAAAAGCUAAUACCGUAUAUUCUCUACAGAGGAAAGAUUUAUCGCUGAUGGAUGAGCCCGCGUCAGAUUAGGUAGUUGGUGAGGUAACGGCUCACCAAGCCGACGAUCUGUAGCUGGUCUGAGAGGAUGAUCAGCCACACUGGGACUGAGACACGGCCCAGACUCCUACGGGAGGCAGCAGUGGGGAAUAUUGGACAAUGGGCGAAAGCCUGAUCCAGCAAUACCGAGUGAGUGAUAAAGGCCCUAGGGUUGUAAAGCUCUUUUAGCAAGGAAGAUAAUGACGUUACUUGCAGAAAAAGCCCCGGCUAACUCUGUG
RNAcentral lists this ribosomal RNA (447 nucleotides) under uncultured bacterium. RNAcentral describes it as "partial 16S ribosomal RNA". It matches the Rfam family "Bacterial small subunit ribosomal RNA", at positions 29 to 507 of the family's 1533-position model. The record is from RNAcentral.